This 448-nucleotide ribosomal RNA is filed under the name uncultured bacterium. RNAcentral's name for it is "bacterial SSU rRNA". It matches the Rfam family "Bacterial small subunit ribosomal RNA", at positions 29 to 524 of the family's 1533-position model. The record is from RNAcentral.
AGCGAACGCUGGCGGCAGGCCUAAUACAUGCAAGUCGAACGGUCUCUUCGGAGGCAGUGGCGGACGGGUGAGUAACGCGUGGGAACGUGCCCUUUGGUACGGAACAACUGAGGGAAACUUCAGCUAAUACCGUAUGUGCCCUUCGGGGAAAGAUUUAUCGCCAUUGGAGCGGCCCGCGUUGGAUUAGCUAGUUGGUGGGUAAUGGCCCACCAAGGCGACGAUCCAUAGCUGGUCUGAGAGGAUGAUCAGCCACACUGGGACUGAGACACGGCCCAGACUCCUACGGGAGGCAGCAGUAGGGAAUCUUGCGCAAUGGGCGAAAGCCUGACGCAGCCAUGCCGCGUGAAUGAUGAAGGUCUUAGGAUUGUAAAAUUCUUUCACCGGGGACGAUAAUGACGGUACCCGGAGAAGAAGCCCCGGCUAACUUCGUGCCAGCAGCCGCGGUAAU